Xenia sp. Carnegie-2017 is the source of this 472-nucleotide long non-coding RNA. RefSeq lists it as uncharacterized. The transcript is spliced from 4 exons. Lineage: Eukaryota; Metazoa; Cnidaria; Anthozoa; Malacalcyonacea; Xeniidae. The record is from RefSeq and is a predicted model, not a curated record.
GUUAGAUGUUAGAUUUUGUAAUGUGUUUGCAAGAUGGUUGUUUGCCGUUUGAAUAGACAAUGAAAUUUUGAGCUUAUUUUACACAAGAAAGGAACGAAAAAAUAUAUGCAUUCUUUUUGACCUCCUCACCAGUCUAGGGACUGUUUUCAGCGAUUGUGUGUUUGUCCGAAUCCUUCUGAACGUUCUAUAUUUGCUCAAAUGACUGUGGGUCUUAAAAUGUUGUAUUCAAGUAUUGAUGAUAAAGCAAGCAAGAAACAAAUAAAUAAGUCGUUGUGUCUCAACAGCAGUUUUAAAGAAGAUAAGUUUAAGCCAGUAAUUGGAGCUGUCCUUGCUGGUCGGUACAAAGUUAUCGCAAAUGUUGGUGAAGGUCAGUCAUCUGUGAUGGUACAAGCAGAGGAUACAUAUCAUCCAAGGCAGCAAUAUGUAGCAAUAAAGAUAUUACACAAAAGUUAUGCCAAUUUGGGACCUCCGG